Small nuclear RNA from Dermochelys coriacea (leatherback sea turtle), 116 nucleotides. RefSeq annotates it as U5 spliceosomal RNA. The record is from RefSeq and is a predicted model, not a curated record. The transcript has a single exon. Lineage: Eukaryota; Metazoa; Chordata; Testudines; Dermochelyidae.
AUGCUCUAGUUUGUCUUCAAAUUAUUUAAGUCUUUUGCCUUUUACUAAAGGUUUCUGUGGAGAGGAAAGUUCAUGAAUUUCUACCCAAUUUUUUGAGGUUUUAUUUUGGUGAGGCU